This 609-nucleotide long non-coding RNA is filed under the name Helianthus annuus (common sunflower). The record is from RNAcentral. Lineage: Eukaryota; Viridiplantae; Streptophyta; Magnoliopsida; Asterales; Asteraceae.
ACAUCUUGCAUUCUUAUCUACUCUUUUCGUUUUUUUAUUAUUUUUUUUUACAUUGAGAAAAAGCGAAAACUUGACUAUAAGUAUGAAGACAACACCAUUCAUUUUAAUAAUAUAUAUUCACUCCCCUAAUAAACAAUUCUCUAAAAUCUGAUGCUCUGUUGUCUCUGAUUCUAUUCACUGCCAAAAAGACCAUUGAGAACUACAACCCAUCAAUUAGAGCAAAGGUAUUAAUGUACAACUCAACUUUUUAUAUAAUUGUGAACGGCUUUAGACAAACUAAUAUCGCUUUAGAAUACAAAAAGGUUCACAGGUUACUUCGGGCGGGGUAAAGAGAGAAGAAUAAAGCCUUGGACUAAAUCUGAAGAUGUUUGUUAAUCAAGUUGAAUGUGUCCGCUUGGAUAUUAACCUUAAGUUUAGUUGUCAUGUGGUUUUGUAUCCUUAUCAAAUAAAUAAAUGGAAUUAUGACUUUUGUUUAUGAUACCAAUGUUAUUGUGACACGCCAGCCCAUCCGGGUUGGGGUGUUACAGCUAUGGUAUCAGAGCAAAGGCUCUUUCCUGUAGAAAACUUAAAGAUAGUAAUUAAAAACCUGUGAGGAAUGGGUAGAUAUUU